GGCAAGAUGGCCGAGCGGUUAAGGCGUGUGACUCAAGAAACUAUAAGGUGGCUUGUCCACCAGGUUAUCUUGCCUCAAUAGAGGUUUCUCAUCACGGUAUCGUGGCGUGGGUUCAAGUCCCACUCUUGUCA
This is a non-coding RNA of Desarmillaria tabescens, 131 nucleotides long. The record is from the annotation of a RefSeq genome assembly. NCBI's taxonomy places the organism in Eukaryota, Fungi, Basidiomycota, Agaricomycetes, Agaricales, Physalacriaceae.